This 277-nucleotide ribosomal RNA is filed under the name uncultured bacterium. Its description in RNAcentral is "partial 16S ribosomal RNA". It matches the Rfam family "Bacterial small subunit ribosomal RNA", at positions 29 to 329 of the family's 1533-position model. The record is from RNAcentral.
AGCGAACGCUGGCGGCAUGCUUAACACAUGCAAGUCGCACGGUCGGGGCAACCCGGCAGUGGCGGACGGGUGAGUAACGCGUAGGUAUCUAUCCUUGGGUGGGGGACAACCGUGGGAAACUACGGCUAAUACCGCAUGAUGUCUGAGGACCAAAGGCGCAAGUCGCCUGGGGAGGAGCCUGCGUACGAUUAGCUAGUUGGUGGGGUAACUGCCUACCAAGGCGACGAUCGUUAGCUGGUCUGAGAGGAUGAUCAGCCACACUGGGACUGAGACACGG